RNAcentral lists this long non-coding RNA (550 nucleotides) under Elaeis guineensis (African oil palm). Its description in RNAcentral is "long non-coding RNA (EGUI_LNC038537)". The record is from RNAcentral. Lineage: Eukaryota; Viridiplantae; Streptophyta; Magnoliopsida; Arecales; Arecaceae.
CUCAUAAAAAGUCUUGUGGAUAGUACAACAAGCUCCUAUGAGUUCAAAGGUAAGUAACUCUUUACUAAUUGUAUCUCAUGCAACUCUCAACAUAAUUUUUGUCUCUAAAACACUUAUAGCCUUGUAAAUAGCACAACAAACUAUAGUAUUUUAGUUAAGUUAUACCCUUCAAUCUUAUAUGGUCAUACCUGAAUAAUACUACUAUUGUGGAUCGCACAACAAGACAGUACUAUCAGAAUAUGUCAUAAGCAUCACUAAGUCAACAUCAUACCAAUCACUAUAGCAAGCCUUGUGGAUAGCACAACAAACUCACUACAGUUUUUGACAUACUCUAUUGACCUAGUAUGAGCUAAGUAUCAUUAGCUUCAUUAUGCACCAAGACAGUAUUAAGUCAAUCUCCACAGCAAACCUUGCCUACUAUGGUUCUUGACAUAAUAGUGACUUAGCAUAAAGGAAGGCAUGGGUAGUGUUCUUAACACUUCGUUAUUAUGACUAAAUAUAAUUUACAUAAGGGACUUAGGUCUCAAGCAUAUUUUUAACAUAUACAUGC